RNAcentral lists this ribosomal RNA (479 nucleotides) under uncultured organism. Its description in RNAcentral is "partial 16S ribosomal RNA". It matches the Rfam family "Bacterial small subunit ribosomal RNA", at positions 331 to 801 of the family's 1533-position model. The record is from RNAcentral.
GUACACUCCUACGGGAGGCAGCAGUGGGGAAUUUUGGACAAUGGGCGAAAGCCUGAUCCAGCAAUGCCGCGUGAGUGAAGAAGGCCUUCGGGUUGUAAAGCUCUUUUGUCAGGGAAGAAACGGUGAGAGCUAAUAUCUCUUGCUAAUGACGGUACCUGAAGAAUAAGCACCGGCUAACUACGUGCCAGCAGCCGCGGUAAUACGUAGGGUGCAAGCGUUAAUCGGAAUUACUGGGCGUAAAGCGUGCGCAGGCGGUUUUGUAAGUCUGAUGUGAAAUCCCCGGGCUCAACCUGGGAAUUGCAUUGGAGACUGCAAGGCUAGAAUCUGGCAGAGGGGGGUAGAAUUCCACGUGUAGCAGUGAAAUGCGUAGAUAUGUGGAGGAACACCGAUGGCGAAGGCAGCCCCCUGGGUCAAGAUUGACGCUCAUGCACGAAAGCGUGGGGAGCAAACAGGAUUAGAAACCCCGGUAGUCCCAUGAU